GCGGCGGACGGGUGAGUAACGCGUGGGCAACCUGCCUUUCACAGAGGGAUAGCCAAAGGAAACUUUGAUUAAAACCUCAUAAAGCCGGAAUAGUGCAUAAUAUACCGGCCAAAGAUUUAUCGGUGAAAGAUGGGCCCGCGUCUGAUUAGCUAGUUGGUGGGGUAACGGCUCACCAAGGCAACGAUCAGUAGCCGACCUGAGAGGGUGAUCGGCCACAUUGGAACUGAGACACGGUCCAAACUCCUACGGGAGGCAGCAGUGGGGAAUAUUGCACAAUGGGCGCAAGCCUGAUGCAGCAACGCCGCGUGAACGAAGAAGGCCUUCGGGUCGUAAAGUUCUGUCCAUAGGGAAGAAACAAAUGACGGUACCUAUGGAGGAAGCCCCGGCUAAAUACGUGCCAGCAGCCGCGGUAAUACGUAUGGGGCAAGCGUUAUCCGGAAUUAUUGGGCGUAAAGAGUGCGUAGGUGGUGGCUUAAGCGCAGGGUUUAAGGCAAUGGCUUAACUAUUGUUCGCCUUGCGAACUGGGUCACUUGAGUACAGGAGAGGAAAGCGGAAUUCCUAAUGUAGCGGUGAAAUGCAUAGAUAUUAGGAGGAACACCGGUGGCGAA
RNAcentral lists this ribosomal RNA (608 nucleotides) under uncultured bacterium. Its description in RNAcentral is "bacterial SSU rRNA". It matches the Rfam family "Bacterial small subunit ribosomal RNA", at positions 95 to 719 of the family's 1533-position model. The record is from RNAcentral.